CUUACAGUACCGUCACCAGGGUACACGUACCCCUUAUUCUUCCUGUAUAAAAGCAGUUUACAACCCGUAGGGCUGUCUUCCUGCACGCGGCAUGGCUGGAUCAGGCUUCCGCCCAUUGUCCAAUAUUCCUCAC
Molecule: ribosomal RNA, 133 nt
Filed under: uncultured bacterium
Lineage: Bacteria
Description: partial 16S ribosomal RNA
Source: RNAcentral